Molecule: ribosomal RNA, 497 nt
Filed under: uncultured bacterium
Lineage: Bacteria
Description: partial 16S ribosomal RNA
Rfam family: Bacterial small subunit ribosomal RNA
Source: RNAcentral
GAUGAACGCUGGCGGCGUGCCUAACACAUGCAAGUCGAGCGAACAGAUGAGGCUCUUGCUCCUCUGAAGUUACCGGCGGACGGGUGAGUAACACGUGGAUAACCGACCUAUAAGACUGGGAUAACUUCGGGAGACCGGAGCUAAUACCGGAUAUUAUAUUGAACCGCAUGGUUCAUCAGACAAAGCCCGUUUUGCUGUCCCUUAUACAUGGUUCCGCGCCGCAUUAGCUAGUUGGUAAGGUAACGGCUUACCAAGGCGACGAUGCGUAGCUGACCUGAGAGGGUGAUCAGCCACACUGGAACUGAGACACGGUCCAGACUCCUACGGGAGGCAGCAGUAGGGAAUCUUCCGCAAUGGGCGAAAGCCUGACGGAGCAACGCCGCGUGUGUGAAGAAGGUCUUCGGAUCGUAAAGCUCUGUUAGUUGGGAAGAACAAAUGUAAAAGUAACUAUGCACGUCUUGACGGUACCUAAACAGAAAGCAACGGCUAACUACGUG